This 305-nucleotide long non-coding RNA is filed under the name Salmo trutta (river trout). RNAcentral's name for it is "lncRNA (ENSSTUG00000014536.1)". The record is from RNAcentral. Lineage: Eukaryota; Metazoa; Chordata; Actinopteri; Salmoniformes; Salmonidae.
CCUAUAAAUCACGAGAGAUACUCUUCUCUAUAUUUGUCUCAGUGUUUUGGGAGUUUACAGGCUGUUGGAAGAGGAAUCAGAGAGACGAUCUGAAGGCAGAAGCAGAGAGGAACUCAGACGUAUUUCAUCAUAGGAACGUAUUUCAUCAGGAACUACAACAUUGCAGAAAGAUGACAAAUGGCAGUCAGGAAGAGGGACUAAGAACAACUCAACCAACAAACAUAGAGAAACAUCACACCUUCAUCUAACAUCUGCUCAUACCUGUGGUUCAGAGUUCCAGCCCCUACCCCUCUCCCCCUAGUUCC